This 1589-nucleotide ribosomal RNA is filed under the name human gut metagenome. Its description in RNAcentral is "bacterial LSU rRNA". It matches the Rfam family "Bacterial large subunit ribosomal RNA", at positions 365 to 1984 of the family's 2925-position model. The record is from RNAcentral.
CCACGGCUUUGUAUCUUCCAUCUUUCGCAAGCUGGGUAAUGGUAAUUCCCUCAUGAAACCCUGUGGGAAGCAGGAGGGACCAUCCUCCAAGCCUAAAUACUACCUAGUGACCGAUAGCGUAUAGUACCGUGAGGGAAAGGUGAAAAGAACCCCGGGAGGGGAGUGAAAGAGAACCUGAAACCCUGCACUUACAAGCUGUAGGAGCACAUUAUUUGUGUGACUGCGUACUUUUUGUAGAACGGGCCAACGAGUUACGUUGUGUAGCAAGGUUAAGCACUUAAGGUGUGGAGCCGUAGCGAAAGCGAGUCUUAAAUGGGCGUCCAGUUACCCGACGUAGACCCGAAACCAGGCGACCUAUCCAUGAGCAGGUUGAAGCGAAAGUAAAAUUUCGUGGAGGACCGAACCCACGUACGUUGAAAAGUGCGGGGAUGACUUGUGGAUAGCGGAGAAAUUCCAAUCGAGCCCGGAGAUAGCUGGUUCUCCCCGAAAUAGCUUUAGGGCUAGCCUCAAGCUUAGAGAAACGGAGGUAGAGCACUGAAUGUCCUAGGGGGUAUUGCACUUACCGAAGACUAUCAAACUCCGAAUGCCGUAUUCUUUUGCUUGGGAGUCAGACUAUGGGUGAUAAGAUUCAUAGUCAAGAGGGCAACAGCCCAGAUCGUCAGCUAAGGUCCCUAAAUGUAAGUUAAGUGGUAAAGGAUGUGGAAUUGCACAGACAACCAGGAUGUUGGCUUAGAAGCAGCCACUCAUUUAAAGAGUGCGUAAUAGCUCACUGGUCGAGUGAUUCUGCGCCGAAAAUUUCCGGGGCUAAAACUUACUACCGAAGCUACGGCAUCAUUAUGAUGGGUAGGGGAGCUUUCUAUGUGGCUUGAAGCAUGACCGUAAGGACAUGUGGACUGCAUAGAAGUGAGAAUGUUGGCAUGAGUAGCGAGAUGUGGGUGAGAAUCCCACAGGCCGUAAACCCAAGGUUUCCAGGGGAAGGUUCGUCCGCCCUGGGUUAGUCAGGACCUAAGCCGAGGCCGAAAGGCGUAGGUGAUGGACAACAGGUUGAUAUUCCUGUACCACCAAUAACCGUUUGAGAAAUGGGAUGACACAGUAGGAUAAGCUAACCGCACUGUUGGUUAUGUGCGGGCAAGUAUUGAGGCAGUUCCGAUAGGCAAAUCCGUCGGAAUAAUGCUGGGGUACGAUGCGGAGCGAAAUUUAGUAGCGAAGUAGCUGAUUUCACACUGUCGAGAAAAGUCUCUAUCGAGGUUAAAGGUGCCUGUACCGCAAACCGACACAGGUGGGUGAGGAGAGUAUCCUAAGGCCAGCGAGAGAACUGUUGUUAAGGAACUCGGCAAAAUGACCCCGUAACUUAGGGAGAAGGGGUGCCUUCGAAAGAAGGCCGCAGAGAAUAGGCCCAAGCGACUGUUUACCAAAAACAUAGGUUUCUGCUAAGUCGCAAGACGAUGUAUAGGAGCUGACGCCUGCCCGGUGCUGGAAGGUUAAGGGGAUCUGUUAGAGCAAUCGAAGCAGUGAACUUAAGCCCCAGUAAACGGCGGCCGUAACUAUAACGGUCCUAAGGUAGCGAAAUUCCUUGUCGGGUAAGUUCC